RNAcentral lists this ribosomal RNA (528 nucleotides) under Blomia tropicalis. RNAcentral's name for it is "partial 12S ribosomal RNA". Lineage: Eukaryota; Metazoa; Arthropoda; Arachnida; Sarcoptiformes; Echimyopodidae. The record is from RNAcentral.
GAAUCUUGUGCCAGCAGUCGCGGUCAUACUUGUUUACUAGAGAAUUAAUUUUUAUCUAAUGGGAGUGGAGGUUAGAUGAGUUUUUAGGUGAAAUUUUAACUUUUUUAUAGCUUUCCAGAGGAUGUGUAAUUUUUUUAGGACCAGGAUUAGAGACCCUGUUACUUUUAGGUUAUUUUUAGGUAGUACUAUAUAGUGUUUAAACUUAAUCUUUCUGGCGGUUUUCCAUCUUGCCAGAGGAGCCUGUGUUUUUAAAGGAUGACCCACUUUUAUGUUCACUCUCUUUUUGUUUGUGUACGGUUGUUUAGUUUUAAGGUAGAACUUAUUGCUUUUUCUUUUUUAUAAUUAAUUCAGAUCUAUGUGCAACUUAUAGGGGAGGUUUUCAUGGGCUACUAUUUUUGUUUCUGGGAUUUUAUUUUCCUGAGAAUUGGAUUUGUGAGUAAGCUAAAAAUUAAAUUUUUGUCUGGUGCAAGGCCUGGUGAAAGUACAUAUCGCCCGUCGCUCUUUUGAUAGAUAAGUCGUAACAUAGUA